This 77-nucleotide transfer RNA is filed under the name Aeromicrobium sp. Root495. Its description in RNAcentral is "tRNA-Val". It matches the Rfam family "tRNA". From Rfam's summary of the family: Transfer RNA (tRNA) molecules are approximately 80 nucleotides in length. Their secondary structure includes four short double-helical elements and three loops (D, anti-codon, and T loops). The record is from RNAcentral. Lineage: Bacteria; Bacillati; Actinomycetota; Actinomycetes; Propionibacteriales; Nocardioidaceae.
GGGCGAAUAGCUCAGCUGGUCAGAGCAUCCGGUUUACACCCGGAAGGUCGGGGGUUCGAAACCCUCUUCGCCCACCC